UGUAGCAACCUUGGCUUCAUUGGUAUCGAUUUAACAUGUCGUCUUGACGUCCUAGCGUAGCCACAUCUCUGACAAAAACAUAGCAAAACCAAAAUUAUACACGAAGACGAAGCUGUAACUCUAUUGUUUCAAACUAGUGUGUAGAUAGUAGAUACUAAUUUGUGUGGGCGCGCGACUAAGUACUAAGUGGUCAUGUUUCCAGUGGCUGAAGACCUCGCUGUAAUUGUCCUGGGUAUAGACUGUGUAGAAGCACAUCGUACAGCAUAAGCUCGAUUUCAAUUCGAUUUCUCAGUUUCCGACGCUAUCGUGCCAUAAUUGGUGAAUUUCGUGUUUCUACUUCCUUACUGUGCAAAUAUGUAGUAUGAAUGCUGCGGCACAUUAAAGAUCAUAAUAUGUUCUAAAGGCGAAAGGAAGUUUUCACUGUCAUUCACCAGAAAGCAGAAAAAUCAGGACGAGUAAUUGUUGGAGUUAGAAAUUGAAAUGUACUGUACAUUUCAAAUUCUGUGAGGUGGAAUGAGUGACGACAUGGUUACGAUAUUGUAUAUAGUUGAAACAGGGUUGUCUCCCAUCUUGAUGGUAUCAUGGGUCAAAGCAGCAACCGGCCCAGCGUGGUCCGUGCUAACUCAACCACAUCUCACCGUCGCCACGCCAUCCACUGGGUGUCCGUGCUGACACCGCUGACUCCAUUGUGGUGGUUGACAUGCACCAUGUUGCUGACCUUGCCAACAUUGCUGCAACUCUCCACCCAGUGCUGGAAAGGCAAAUGUAAGUGUCGUGCACACUUGCAUCGUACUGUAAUUCUUUGGUGGAAGAUGGCAUUCUGGUCAAUAGACAACCAUGCCAAUGGUGACAUCAGGGCACCUAUGAAACGAGGUAAUGUUUGCCGGGUAGCCCCAUAUCCACAAUCUCUGUGUAUACAAGUCACAGACAGUGCAGUAUGGCUCAGAGAAGAUGCCUAAAAUACUCACUGAGAUGUAUCCUGAAGACCAGGGCAGGGCCGACCACGUGUGACGUCAGAAGAGCGGACUGUUGUUUGGCUUUAAGGGCACAACAGUAUCAUCUUAGUACUGCACAGCGACUGGCAUGUGAGUUCGCACCAUCCACUGGACGUGUUGUAGCAAGGAAAACAUUGUGCGGAAGUCUUCGGCAGAGUAGCCUUUGUCAGAGACCUACUGUACGUCUACCUCUUACGCAUCUUCACAGAAGGGAACGUCUAGAGUGGCAUCAACAACAUGCCAUGUGGACGGUAGAACAAGGGAGCAAUGUUGUUCACACAGAUAAGUCCCACUUUAGUCUGGUGAGUGCUUCACAAUGGAGUCACAUCUGAAGGGAACAUGGAACACUAUUUCGGGACCCAAACAUUGUGGAAAGAGACCGAUAUCGAGGAUCCAUAAUGGUGUGGGCAGGGAUUGUUGACCACUCGAACACCUCUUCAUGAAACUGUGCAGGGGAAUUGGAAAGGUUUAACUUGACACCUGUCAGGUAUCAUGAUGAGAUCUUGGGACCUUACCUGUGGUUGUUGUGAGGUGCUGUGGGCCUAGACUUCGUAUUGUUGGGCUGUAAUGCUUGACCUCAUAGAGCACAGAUGGUUUAUAUUUUUUGGGAAUGGAAGGUAUUGCACACAUGGUGUGGCCUGCUUGCUCUCCCAAUUUGAAUUCCAUAGAACAUGUCUGGGAUACACUAAGGAGACUGCGUCUGCUGAUACCUUGCCUUAAUAAACAAAUCGAAGAGUGGUAGAUGCAAUUAUGAAGAAAGACUUGGGAUUUUAUGUCUAAUAAAUAUUAAUUGUAUGUGUGUAAAUUGGUUGUAAUAGUACACAAUAAAUUUUUAAGUACUAAGA
This is a long non-coding RNA of Schistocerca cancellata (South American locust), 1840 nucleotides long. RefSeq lists it as uncharacterized. The transcript has 5 exons. NCBI's taxonomy places the organism in Eukaryota, Metazoa, Arthropoda, Insecta, Orthoptera, Acrididae. The record is from RefSeq and is a predicted model, not a curated record.